CAUGCAGCAGGCACACCAGCCCUCUGUUACCCUGGAUGAAGACACAACUAUCUUGAGGCUGCGCUCCCGACAUGUGCUGAACAAGGCUGGCGAAGACAGAGGCUUCACGUCGUACUUCCUGAUCCUCAUCUUGUAGCAGUUCCUCAGAGGGCACUAUGGGCCAGACACUGAGCAGAGCAAUGGCCUUGCUCCGAUGGAGGGUCACUGAUGGAAGGACACCCGUGUGUGCACCCCAUGGCACUGCUAGGAAUAAGCAGCUAUUACUCACUGAAGAGCUGGAUGGCUGCGUUUCUCAUGGCCCAGCUAGACGAGCCUAGUGCCUUCAGAAGCAGAGCCAUCAUAGGCGGGACAUACUGGAGCAGCGCCGUUCCCAGGCCGGAGCCACGCACCAGUGUCUGCAACACAUGCAAGGCAGAGACCUGCAGAGAACACACAACAAAGAUCACUGGGGUGGCCCAGGGACUUCUUGGGGCCCACUGGCAGAAGGCAGUGCCCUGGGUCUGGUCUCUACAGAAUCGUUCAUCAAAGGGUGUCUUGUAAGGUCUCCAGUGAAAGCCUGUGUCAUGCUGAUCGACAUAAUCCCCGUGAAGUGUUUGUACAGGUAAUAUGUAAAGAGGGGACGGUGUUUCUUUCGGGUGAGAGCUGCUUAUCCACCUGUCCAGCUAUAUGUAAAUUGAAUACUGUAUACUUCACAGACUGACCGCAGUGCUAAUUAAGAGAUUGUGAAAUCUCCAUGGGAAAGUCUCUGCAGGAAAAAACAAGCAGCAGGAGGUAUCCUGUUUGCAAGUGAUGACAGUGGAUGGCUGGAACUACAUCUGGGGAUACAGUGGUGUGCCCAGGUAUCCUUCACUGAGGGGUCAAGCUGCCAGCUGGUUUGUCUUUUGAACGGAGGAUCACAGCUGGUCUGACUGAUGAGGAGAGAGAGACUUUGGAGCAGCUUUCAUUGCCACGGAGCUUCACGUACUACACAGAAUGCAGAUGGGUCGCUUCUGGGGACACAGCAAACACUAGGCAGUAGUUCGGGGAAGCAAACGGAAAGCCGUCUGCCUCAGCUGGAUCGGCCAGGGAAGGUAAGUCGGUGUGACGCUGCGGUGAACAGCUCUACUCUAGUGAAAACCAGCAGGACGCCUGGAGUGGGCACAAGUGGUUUGCUUGCGUGGUUUGUCUCAUCUGAGAGAUGGCGCCGCAGGCCGCACGGUGACCCCAGCCCCGUUCGGAGGGCAGGGUCCUCGCUCAGCAGCACCACUGCCUGGGAUUCAGGAGGCAGCCUGCCUGGCUAACCAACAUAGGCGAGAGGUAGAUCUCUUCUGCUGAAUAUCAUCCACUGAUGCGUGAGCUGAACCGCUCAGCGCUCAGGCCUCUUACCUGAG
Molecule: long non-coding RNA, 1370 nt
Organism: Chelonia mydas (Green sea turtle)
Lineage: Eukaryota; Metazoa; Chordata; Testudines; Cheloniidae
Exons: 3
Source: RefSeq, a predicted model, not a curated record